GGGGGGGGGGGGGGCAGUUGUGCGCGUUGGUGGUUGUUGGUGCGUCGGUGUAAUUUGUUUAAAAUUUUAAUUAAAAAAAUGAUGAGUGAGGUAUGGAUUGGCGUAAAAAAGUGUGUGCAUUGCGUUAAAUUUUUUUAAAUAAUAAAAUGUUUAAUUGUGGAGUGGAAAUACGGGAGUGACCAGUGGGGCGAAGGGAUCGAGGGGGGGGGGGUAGUUGUGCGCGUUCGUGGUUGUCGGUGGGCCGGUAAAAAGGCGUAAUUUGUUUAAGAAUGUUUAGAAUUUUAAUUAAAAAAAUAAUGAGUCGGGUUGUAAAUACAGUGGCCUAAGAAAGUGUGUGCCUGUUGUUUGAAUUGUGGCAUAAUUAAAUGGUUAAUUGGUUAGUGAGAAAUCAGGUGGAAUAUUAAGUGAGCAGUGUUUUUUUGGUGGUGGAUAGUCAGUGUUUUUUUUUUUUUUUUUUUUUUUUAAUGUGAAUUGUUGAAGUGAGCUGUGGAAAAGGAGGAAUGCUGAGACAGCAGGCGACACAUUGCAGUUAUCCCGGUGAAGUGAGCUGUGGAAAAGGAGGAAUGCUGAGACAGCAUUCAACAGCAGGCGACAGUUUGCAGUAUGCAGUUUGCAGUAUGCAGUUUGCAGUUGAUAUCUCGGUGAAGUGAGCUGUGGAAAAGGAGGAAUGCUGAGACAGCAUUCAACAGCAGGCGACAGUUUGCAGUAUGCAGUUUGCAGUAUGCAGUUUGCAGUUUGCAGUUGAUAUCUCGGUGAGUCAAAAAUUAAAGAAUUUUUAUUUAAUGUUAAGCAAUUGUGAUAAAUUUUGAAUUAUUUGUCACAAAUGUUUAACGAUGCUCAUGAUGAGCUUCUAGUGGAUAAGAGGUACGUUUGUCAGUUGUGAGAAAUUAAAAUUAAUUAAUAAAGUGAAGCUAGCCAGAGUUGGGGUUUUUGAAUUAAUUAGAGAAUUAGUUCUUAAUUGGGUUUUAUAUAAUUUUUUGGUGUGGUCAGUAGAAAUAAAAUGUUGAAAAAGGUUUUUUUGAAAAAGUAGUUUUUGUAAUUUGUCAUGCACUGUUGGACUCAGCUGUCACAUAUACUGGGGGUUGUAGGAAGGGGUGUUUUUGGGGGGGGGGCGGUGGGAAAUGAAGACGGGCGUUGCUGUAGAAUUCAGCGGCCGCCGUCAGAUCCCGCACUUUAUCCGUCGGACUCGGACGUGCAUUAUUGAUGAUACCCGUCGGAGUGCGACCUGUAUCCUGAAUUACCCGUCGUACUUGACUGUGGUGAAGUGCGACGUGGAGUCCCGUUUUGUAUAUGCCCUGUAUAUUGGGCGGUAAAAAGCGCGUAAAUUUAGGGUGGAGGGGAAUGAAGACGGGGGGACCGUCCAGAAUUCGACGGCCUCCUUGUCGGAGCCCCCGGGGUUUUGUUCCGUCGGAGUUGGACAGCGAGGAAAAGGUGUCUGAUUCCGACGAAUCGUGUCCACGAAUUGAGCCAUCGUGUAUUAUAUAGGGGUGGAAAAUAUUUUUUGGACAAGCCUCGACGCAUUGAAUUGAAUGCGGAGGUUUAGUAUAUGCGGCGGCGGCGGCUAGUUUGGGUGGAAUGGUAAAUUAUAAGAAAUGAAUAUUUGAAGAAAGCUUUUUGAGGAUGAAAUGAAUAAUUAGUAAAAAAAUAAUUGAGUGGGAUGGUUAGCUUGACAGGUGGAUAUUUGUUAGUCGGAAUUUAGUAAUUUGCAUUGUAAAAGAUUUCUCACAAAUGAUGAAUAACCGUAAAGAGAACCUCGGGGGGAGGAGCAUUUAAAUGUAAAAGUGAUAAGGUAGUAAAAAUGUUUAACAUCUGUUAUGGGGAGAAAUAUAAAUUGAAAAUGUAUUUUUCAUUGCUAUUUCAUCGAGCCUGAGAAAUAUUUAACAAGGCUGAUAAAGAAUUGGGUUUUUUUUUUUGUGGGGGAUUUUAGUGAUGAACCCGGGGGUUGAUCGCUGUGAAAGUUGUAAGGUACUGUUAAUGGUAUAAAUAUAAAUUUGUAAUUUUUUUGAAUUGAUAUUAAAUGGCGUGAGCAUGUUUUUAUGAAUAGAGAGAGUUAGAAGCGAAGUUUUGCAAAGCCUAGUCAUAAUGAAGUUGUAAGGGUUUCGCUAGAUGGUGUCAGUCAAGAAAUUGGUGGCCCUGCGAAACUUGUCACCCUUCAGACUAGAUUUGUUUACCUUUGCAAUAAAAUUGUUAGACUGGUUAGGAUAUUUUGAUGAAUAGAGAUUGAGAAUAGAGAGAGUUAGAAGCGAAGUUUUGCAAAGCCUAGUCAUAAUGAAGUUGUAAGGGUUUCGCUAGAUGGUGUCAGUCAAGAAAUUGGUGGCCCUGCGAAACUUGUCACCCUUCAGACUAGAUUUGUUUACCUUUGCAAUAAAAUUGUUAGACUGGUUAGGAUAUUUUGAUGAAUAGAGAUUGAGAAGAGAGAGAGAGUUAGAAGCGAAGUUUUGCAAAGCCUAGUCAUAAUGAAGUUGUAAGGGUUUCGCUAGAUGGUGUCAGUCAAGAAAUUGGUGGCCCUGCGAAACUUGUCACCCUUCAGACUAGAUUUGCUUACCUUUGCAAUAAUAUGGUUAGACUGGUGAGGAUAUUUUUAUGGAUAGAGAUUGAGAAGAGAGAGAGUUAGAAGCUAGGUUUUGCAACAGUUAGUCAGAAUAAAGUCGUAAGAAUGUCACAAGAGGGUUUAAAUGAAGGAAUACUUAGCAAGGCGUGUGAAAAAUAGGGUUUUUAAAAUUGAUAAAAAUUUUUUGUCGGGUUGUCAGGUGUUAAAUUCAGAAGGUAUUGAAAAUGGGUGAAAUAAAAAUUUUGAAAAUAGGUUUAAUGGAUAUUCCAUGGUGUGAGACGAAUAUUUAGCAAAGCGUGUGAAAAAUUGAGUUUUUUAAAAUGAUUUUAAUGUUUUGCGGGGUUGUCAGGUGUUAAAUUGGUAACAUAUGGAAAAUUUUGAACCAAUGUUGGUAAUUGGUUAGAGCGCGGGUGACUUGUUCCACACGUCGAUAACUAGUCUGUCGGUAAGAGUAUUGGACGGUCGGUAUCUCGGCGAUGGGUAAAUAGUCGACGAAGUGUAAUGACGUGACAGGGUUAUCAGCCGUCAAACUUUUACCGUAUUGAAAAUAGUUAAAAUAAAAAUUUUAAAAAUAGCUUUAAUGGAUAUUAAAUGGUGUGAGACGAAUAUUUAGCAACGCGUGUGAAAAAUAGUGUUUUUGUUAUAUUGAUUUUGAUGUUUUGUGGGUUUGUUAUCAGUUAAACAGGUAAGUAUUGAAAAUUGUUGAAAUAAAAUUUUUUAAAAUAGCUUUAAUGGAUAUUAAAUGGUGUGAGACGAAUAUUUAGCGACGCGUAUGAAGAAUUCCGUUUUUUUAUAUUGAUUUUAAUGUUUUGCGGGGCUGUCAGCUGUUAAAUUUGCGACUUAUUGAAAAUGGUUAAAAUAAAAAUAGUUAAAAUAGUUUUAAUGGAUAUUAAAUGGCGUGAGACGAAUAUUUAGCGACGCGUAUGAAAAAUUCCGUUGUUUUUAUAUUGAUUUUCUGUCAGCUGUUAAAUUUGCGACUUAUUGAAAAUGGUUAAAAUAAAAAUAGUUAAAAUAGUUUUAAUGGAUAUUAAAUGGCGUGAGAUGAAUAUUCAGCAAGGCGUAUGAAAAAUUGGGUUUUUUAAAUUGAUUUUAAUGUUUUGGGGGGGUGUUAGCUAUAAAAUUUUUAACAUAUUGAAAAUAGUUGAAAUAAAAAUUAAAAAAAUAGGUUUAAUGGAUAUUAAAUGGUGUGAGACGAAUAUUGAGUAAGGCGUGUAAAAAAUAGUGUUUUUUAAUUGAUUUUAAAGCGUUGCGCGGUUGUCAGCUAUUAAAGUUGUAAAUAUUGAAAAUUUAGAAUGAGAUCGGUAAUCCGGUAGAGCGCGGGUGAGUUGUUCCACACGUUGAUAACUAGAUUGUCGGUAAUCCGAUUGGUCGGUCGGUAUUUGGGCUGUUGGUUAAACAGUGAUAAUAGUUUUAGGGGUAGCCGGUUCGAAGAGUCGAUAACUCGACUGAAGGUAAUGACAGUCGUCGGUCGGUAUGUCGGCGAUGGGUAAAGAGUGAUUACAGCUUUAGGGGUAACUGGUUUGAAGCGUCGAUAAUUUUCGCUGAUGGUAAUGCGAUUGGUAAUUUUUGACUUAUAUAUAAAAUAUAAAAUUGAAAUAAAUACUUAUAAUUAAUAUACAAAAUGGAAUAUUAAAUUAAUAUAUUAAUUUAUUAUUUAAAAUUAAAUGUAAGAAUACUUUGUUUUUUGAAUUAAAUUGAAUUGAAAAUUUUUUAAUUUAAUAAAUUUAGAUUGAAUAAUAUGUUUUAUUUGAAUUGUUUGAUAAAAAUAAAUUGCAAUAAUAAUUAGAAUUUCUAUUUAUAUUGUAAAUUUUUGAUUAUUGAUUUGAAUUUUAGGAGCUUUAUUUAGAAUGAAAUUUGAUUAUAAAAAUCAGAAGAUAUUGUUUAUGAAAUGAUAUAUGUUGAAUAUUAUUAUGUUUAAUAAUUAGAAUUGUUGUAUUUUGAAGUUGUUAUUUAUGAAUUAGAGAUUAGACAUUUGUUUUUUGUUCAUAAUAUAUUUAUAUAUAUUUGAUUAUUUAUAAGAAUAUGAUUAGGAGGAGUGCCCUCAUUUUUUCGGAUUUUUUCUAAAAUGGGUGUUUAUUAUAAAUUAACAUAUAUUAAACUUUUUAUUUAUAUUACUUCCGGUUUGGGUUAAAUUUUCUAAUAUUGAAUUAUUUAAUAAUAAAUGUGAUUUUUUUUUUCAAUAGAAAAUUUAAAGUUAAUUUUCUAUUAUAAAUUUAGAAAAUUGAUAAUAUAAUUAAAAAUGAUAAAUUUGAAAUGGUAAAGAAGAUUUUGUUUUCCUUUUAAAUAAAUUUGCAAUUUAAUGUUUAAUCUUGGUUUAUAUAUAGGUAUAGGUUAUCGAAUUAGAGUUGAGUCUUACUGGGGGGAGUACAAUAGAAUGGUAACUGGUCAUGUUUUUGUUAUACUUUUUUUUUUUUUAUAGUUAUACCUAUCAUUAUAUUAGAGUUUCAGUAAGACUCAACUCUAAUUGAAUAAUUAUACCUAUAUAUAAAGCAAGAUUAAAGAUUAAAUUGCAAAUUGAAAAUUGUAUAAAAUGUAAGAUUUGAGUAAAGCUUCUGACUUGACUAAUAAAUUGUAAAUUGAUUUGAAAGAAAAAAAAAAUAGUUGUUUGAUAUGUGAAAUUUUGAAAAUUUCUAGUGUAAAAUGAAUUAAAAAUUGAAUAUUAUAAAAAUAUGAAAAUUUUUCAGUAAAAAAAGAGAAAAAUGAAAUAUAUUAAAAUUUAGAAUAAAAAAUGCAAGGAAUGGGGGCACUUGUAAUGAUAUUGUAAUAAAUAAAAAUAAAAAAAAUAGGUUUAAUGGAUAUUAAAUGGUGUGAGACGAAUAUUGAGUAAGGCGUGUAAAAAAUAGUGUUUUUUAAUUGAUUUUAAUGCGUUGCGGGGUUGUUAGCUAUUACAGUUGGAAAUAUUGAAAAUUUCGAAGUAGAUGGGUAAUUGGGUAGAGGGCAGGUGACUGGUUGGACACGUCGAUAAGUAGGUUGUCGGUAAUAAUAGUAUUGGAGAGUCGGUAUCUGGGAUGUGGGUAAAAUAGUGAUAAGAGUUUUAUGGGUAACCGACUGGAAGCGUCGGUAACUGGACUGAAGGUAAUGUCAGUCGUCAGUCGGUAUGUCGGCGAUGGGUAAAUAGUGAUUACAGCUUUAGGGGUAACUGGUUUCAUGCGUCGAUAAUUGUACUGAUGGUAAUGCGAUUGGUAAUUUUUGACUUAUAUAUGAAAUAUAAAAUUAAUAUAUUAAGUGAUUAUUCAAAAUUUAAUUUAAAAAUACUUUCAUUAUUGAAUUAAAUUGAAUUGAAAAUUUUUUAAUCUAAUAAAUUUCGAAUUGACAAAUUAUAUUUAAUAGUUUUAUCUAUUUGUAAAAAUCUGAAAAAAUGUUAUGUUUAUAACGUUAAAAGAUAUAAUUAUUUAUAUUAAAAAUAAUUGAAAGUUAUGUACUUUGAUUUCUAUCAAAAAAUAUAAUUGCUUUUAUAUGUUUAUUUUAUUAAUUUGAAAUAAUUAUUAUUGAAUAUAAAUUUUUGUAGAAAUAACUUUCUUAACUUUUAUUGUUUCAAUAGUAGAAGUUAUGUGGGGGCAAAAUCAAUACAACAACAAUACAAUACAAUACAAUACAACAACAAUAUAAUACAACAACACAAUAUAGCAAUACAAUAUAUACAAUAUUAUUUAUUAAAUAGAUUUAG
Molecule: long non-coding RNA, 6218 nt
Organism: Diachasmimorpha longicaudata
Lineage: Eukaryota; Metazoa; Arthropoda; Insecta; Hymenoptera; Braconidae
Exons: 3
Source: RefSeq, a predicted model, not a curated record